Molecule: ribosomal RNA, 497 nt
Filed under: uncultured bacterium
Lineage: Bacteria
Description: partial 16S ribosomal RNA
Rfam family: Bacterial small subunit ribosomal RNA
Source: RNAcentral
GAUGAACGCUGGCGGCGUGCCUAAUACAUGCAAGUCGAGCGAACGGACGAGAAGCUUGCUUCUCUGAUGUUAGCGGCGGACGGGUGAGUAACACGUGGAUAACCUACCUAUAAGACUGGGAUAACUUCGGGAAACCGGAGCUAAUACCGGAUAAUAUUUUGAACCGCAUGGUUCAAAAGUGAAAGACGGUCUUGCUGUCACUUAUAGAUGGAUCCGCGCUGCAUUAGCUAGUUGGUAAGGUAACGGCUUACCAAGGCAACGAUGCAUAGCCGACCUGAGAGGGUGAUCGGCCACCCUGGAACGGAGACACGGUCCAGACUCCUACGGGAGGCAGCAGUAGGGAAUCUGCCGCAAUGGGCGAAAGCCUGACGGAGCAACGCCGCGUGAGUGAUGAAGGUCUUCGGAUCGUAAAACUCUGUUAUUAGGGAAGAACAGAUGUGUAAGUAACUGUGCACAUCUUGACGGUACCUAAUCAGAAAGCCACGGCUAACUACGUG